Molecule: ribosomal RNA, 275 nt
Filed under: uncultured prokaryote
Description: partial 16S ribosomal RNA
Rfam family: Bacterial small subunit ribosomal RNA
Source: RNAcentral
UACGGAGGAUCCUAGUGUUAUCCGGAUUUAUUGGGUUUAAAGGGAGCGUAGGCGGGAGGUCAAGUCAGCUGUGAAAUGUAUCUGCUUAACGGGUACACUGCAGUUGAAACUGGUUUUCUUGAGUGCGUAAGAGGCAGGCGGAAUUCGUUGUGUAGCGGUGAAAUGCUUAGAUAUUAGGAGGAACACCAGUGGCGAAGGCGGCUCUCUGGUCUGUAACUGACGCUGAGGUGCGAAAGCGUGGGGAUCAAACAGGAUUAGAUACCCCCGUAGUCCCU